RNAcentral lists this long non-coding RNA (928 nucleotides) under Homo sapiens (human). RNAcentral describes it as "HSALNT0374521". The record is from RNAcentral. Lineage: Eukaryota; Metazoa; Chordata; Mammalia; Primates; Hominidae.
CUUCUGGUCAAUUCAGUCAUAAGAUGUAUUCCUGGCUGGAAAAUUCUGCUAUUUGGAAUCUACAGUUAGACAAGACUGCAUGUUAGACUCUGAAGUUAGGCAGGGUCACCACCCUGGACAGCUGUAACACUCACCGCGAAAGUCUGCAGCUUCACUCCUGAGCCAGCGAGACCACGAGCCCACCAGGAGGAACGAACAACUCCAGACCCGCUGCCUUAAGAGCUGUUAACAGUCACCGCGAAGGUCUGCAGCUUCACUCCUGAGCCAGCGAGACCACGAGCCCACCUGGAGGAACGAACAACUCCAGACCCGCUGCCUUAAGAGCUGUAGCAGUCACCACGAAAGUCUGCAGCUUCACUCCUGAGCCAGCGAGACCGCGAACCCACCAGAAGGAAGAAAUUCCGAACAUAUCCGAACAUCAGAAGGAACAAACUCCAGACGCGCCACCUUAAGAGCUGUAACACUCACCGCGAGGGUCCGCGGCUUCAUUCUUGAUGUCAGCAAGACCAAGAACCCACCAAUUCUGGACACAAAACCUCAAGUAGUCCCUCCACCGAAAGCACAUUAUAAGGAUCAUUUUGCCUCAAAGCCCUCCUACAGGCAAGAGGAGCUUACUGUGACUUCCAAGAAGAAAAUGAUGUUGUGGCAUGAAGCACUUCUCUGAUCAUAUCACUGCUGUACUAAAGGUAUGGAAUGUAUUCGGUGUUGAGGAGUUUGGACAGUACAGCAGCAGCUGCUCUAGAGCAUAAGCAGAUGGUGAAUGUUCAACUUGAUUACAUUGACCAAACGGAAUUGGAUAACAAACUCGAAAUAGUUUGAGAAAAAAGGUAAUAUAGAUUUGAGGACAUAGACCAACAAGUUACCAGAGAUCACCAAGGCAGCUAUAACUAAACAAAAGAGGGAAAAGAUCUAUAAGAACAGCAGUGAU